GGUGUAGCGGUGAAAUGCGCAGAUAUCAGGAGGAACACCGGUGGCGAAGGCGGGACUCCGGGCUGUAACUGACACUGAGGAGCGAAAGCAUGGGGAGCGAACAGGAUUAGAUACCCUGGUAGUCCAUGCCGUAAACGUUGGGCACUAGGUGUGGGGGACAUUCCACGUUCUCCGCGCCGUAGCUAACGCAUUAAGUGCCCCGCCUGGGGAGUACGGUCGCAAGGCUAAAACUCAAAGGAAUUGACGGGGGCCCGCACAAGCGGCGGAGCAUGCGGAUUAAUUCGAUGCAACGCGAAGAACCUUACCAAGGCUUGACAUACACUGGACCGUUCUGGAAACAGUUCUUCUCUUUGGAGCUGGUGUACAGGUGGUGCAUGGUUGUCGUCAGCUCGUGUCGUGAGAUGUUGGGUUAAGUCCCGCAACGAGCGCAACCCUCGUUCUAUGUUGCCAGCACGUGAUGGUGGGAACUCAUAGGAGACUGCCGGGGUCAACUCGGAGGAAGGUGGGGAUGACGUCAAAUCAUCAUGCCCUUUAUGUCUUGGGCUUCACGCAUGCUACAAUGGCUGGUACAGAGAGAGGCGAACCCGUGAGGGUGAGCGAAUCCCUUAAAGCCAGUCUCAGUUCGGAUCGUAGUCUGCAAUUCGACUACGUGAAGUCGGAGUCGCUAGUAAUCGCAGAUCAGCAACGCUGCGGUGAAUACGUUCCCGGGCCUUGUACACACCGCCCGUCAAGUCACGAAAGUCGGUAACACCCGAAGCCGGUGUCCCAACCCCCUUUGUGGGGAGGGGGCCGUCUAAGGUGGGACUGGUGAUUGGGACUAAGUCGUAACAAGGUAACC
Molecule: ribosomal RNA, 838 nt
Filed under: uncultured bacterium
Lineage: Bacteria
Description: bacterial SSU rRNA
Rfam family: Bacterial small subunit ribosomal RNA
Source: RNAcentral